UAGAAUUUGGUGUAUUUGGGAGCACGAAGAGUUUUGGAUUCUUAGGAGUAGGUUCAAUUCCUAUGAUUCUAG
RNAcentral lists this transfer RNA (72 nucleotides) under Antilope cervicapra (blackbuck). RNAcentral describes it as "tRNA-Gln". It matches the Rfam family "tRNA". From Rfam's summary of the family: Transfer RNA (tRNA) molecules are approximately 80 nucleotides in length. Lineage: Eukaryota; Metazoa; Chordata; Mammalia; Artiodactyla; Bovidae. The record is from RNAcentral.